AAGCGAGCCUGACGGUCUAUCUUGAUGUGACUAUCUUAUUCAAUGUUUCUGGUUUUGAGGAAAGCAUUUUCCCAUCAUUUCAAACGUCUACCUUGUAUGAUGUGACUACCUUCUUAUUCAAUAUUUCUGGUUUCGAGAAAAGCAUUUGCCCGUCAUAUCAAACGGGGUGAAAUUUCCAUUGCUGAAACAAGUGUCAACUCAGCGGUUCCACACCUUCAGCAGAGGGGAUGAUAAAGAUGCGCACUUUCGAUCAAGUUACUGAGGACAGUGGAUAGAAUUGAUAUGGUGUUUUGUUACAAUGCUAUGGAGGGUAAUGGUGGAUGAGUGAGGGAUGACACUAGCAGGACAAUAGGAAUCGCGUUUGAGAGAACUGAAAUGCAUUUCAAG
Molecule: long non-coding RNA, 387 nt
Filed under: Nilaparvata lugens (brown planthopper)
Lineage: Eukaryota; Metazoa; Arthropoda; Insecta; Hemiptera; Delphacidae
Description: uncharacterized LOC111055826, transcript variant X3
Source: RNAcentral